GUUGUAUGGUUAAGUGACUAAGCGUACACGGUGGAUGCCUUGGCAGUCAGAGGCGAUGAAAGACGUAGUAACUUGCGAUAAGCCCAGAUUAGGUAGUAACAACCAUUUGAGUCUGGGAUUUCUGAAUGGGGAAACCCACGUGCAUAAGCACGUAUCCUUACCUGAAUACAUAGGGUAAGGAGGCGAACCGGGGGAACUGAAACAUCUAAGUACCCCGAGGAAAAGAAAUCAACCGAGAUUCCGAAAGUAGCGGCGAGCGAAAUUGGACUAGCCCUUAAGCUUUACACGCGUUAGACGAACGGUCUGGAAAGUCCGACGAUACAGGGUGAUAGUCCCGUAGUUGACGACGUGUGUUCAGUGAAAUCGAGUAGGGCGGGACACGUGAUAUCCUGUCUGAAUAUGGGGGGACCAUCCUCCAAGGCUAAAUACUACUGACUGACCGAUAGUGAACCAGUACCGUGAGGGAAAGGCGAAAAGAACCCCUGUGAGGGGAGUGAAAUAGAACCUGAAACCGUGUACGUACAAGCAGUAGGAGCAGGCUUGUCCUGUGACUGCGUACCUUUUGUAUAAUGGGUCAGCGACUUAUAUUCAGUGGCAAGGUUAACCAUCUAGGGGAGCCGUAGGGAAACCGAGUCUUAACUGGGCGUUCAGUCUCUGGAUAUAGACCCGAAACCAGGUGAUCUAGCCAUGGGCAGGUUGAAGGUUGAGUAACAUCAACUGGAGGACCGAACCGACUAAUGUUGAAAAAUUAGCGGAUGACUUGUGGCUAGGGGUGAAAGGCCAAUCAAACCUGGAGAUAGCUGGUUCUCCCCGAAAGCUAUUUAGGUAGCGCCUCGGACGAAUACUACUGGGGGUAGAGCACUGUUAAGGCUAGGGGGUCAUCCCGACUUACCAACCCUUUGCAAACUCCGAAUACCAGUAAGUACUAUCCGGGAGACACACGGCGGGUGCUAACGUCCGUCGUGGAGAGGGAAACAACCCAGACCGCCAGCUAAGGUCCCAAAUUACUACUAAGUGGGAAACGAUGUGGGAAGGCUCAGACAGCCAGGAUGUUGGCUUAGAAGCAGCCAUCAUUUAAAGAAAGCGUAAUAGCUCACUGGUCGAGUCGGCCUGCGCGGAAGAUGUAACGGGGCUAAGUAGUAAACCGAAGCUGCGGCAAUAUACUUUUGUAUAUUGGGUAGGGGAGCGUUCUGUAAGCGGUUGAAGGUGUGUGGUAACGCAUGCUGGACGUAUCAGAAGUGCGAAUGCUGACAUGAGUAACGAUAAAGGGGGUGAAAAACCUCCUCGCCGGAAGACCAAGGGUUCCUGUCCAACGUUAAUCGGGGCAGGGUAAGUCGACCCCUAAGGCGAGGCCGAAAGGCGUAGUCGAUGGGAAACGGGUUAAUAUUCCCGUACUUCUUACAAUUGCGAUGGGGGGACGGAGAAGGCUAGGUGGGCCUGGCGACGGUUGUCCAGGUUCAAGUGCGUAGGCUGAGAGAUUAGGUAAAUCCGGUUUCUCUUAAGGCUGAGACACGACGUCGAGCACCUACGGGUGUGAAGUCAUUGAUGCCAUGCUUCCAGGAAAAGCCUCUAAGCUUCAGAUUGUAAGGAAUCGUACCCCAAACCGACACAGGUGGUCGGGUAGAGAAUACCAAGGCGCUUGAGAGAACUCGGGUGAAGGAACUAGGCAAAAUGGUACCGUAACUUCGGGAGAAGGUACGCUCUCGACGGUGAAGUCCCUUGCGGAUGGAGCUAUUGAGAGUCGCAGAUACCAGGUGGCUGCAACUGUUUAUUAAAAACACAGCACUGUGCAAAAUCGUAAGAUGACGUAUACGGUGUGACGCCUGCCCGGUGCCGGAAGGUUAAUUGAUGGGGUUAGACUUCGGUCGAAGCUCUUGAUCGAAGCCCCGGUAAACGGCGGCCGUAACUAUAACGGUCCUAAGGUAGCGAAAUUCCUUGUCGGGUAAGUUCCGACCUGCACGAAUGGCGUAAUGAUGGCCACGCUGUCUCCACCCGAGACUCAGUGAAAUUGAAAUCGCUGUGAAGAUGCAGUGUACCCGCGGCUAGACGGAAAGACCCCGUGAACCUUUACUACAGCUUGGCACUGAACAUUGACCCUACAUGUGUAGGAUAGGUGGGAGGCUUUGAAGCACGUACGCCAGUAUGUGUGGAGCCGUCCUUGAAAUACCACCCUUGUAGUGUUGAUGUUCUAACGUCGACCCCUUAUCGGGGUUGCGGACAGUGCCUGGUGGGUAGUUUGACUGGGGCGGUCUCCUCCCAAAGAGUAACGGAGGAGCACGAAGGUGGGCUAAUCACGGUUGGACAUCGUGAGGUUAGUGCAAUGGCAUAAGCCCGCUUGACUGCGAGAAUGACAAUUCGAGCAGGUGCGAAAGCAGGUCAUAGUGAUCCGGUGGUUCUGAAUGGAAGGGCCAUCGCUCAACGGAUAAAAGGUACUCCGGGGAUAACAGGCUGAUACCGCCCAAGAGUUCAUAUCGACGGCGGUGUUUGGCACCUCGAUGUCGGCUCAUCACAUCCUGGGGCUGAAGUCGGUCCCAAGGGUAUGGCUGUUCGCCAUUUAAAGUGGUACGCGAGCUGGGUUUAGAACGUCGUGAGACAGUUCGGUCCCUAUCUGCCGUGGGCGUUGGAAGAUUGAAGGGGGCUGCUCCUAGUACGAGAGGACCGGAGUGGACGAACCUCUGGUGUUCGGGUUGUGUCGCCAGACGCAUUGCCCGGUAGCUAAGUUCGGAAUCGAUAACCGCUGAAAGCAUCUAAGCGGGAAGCGAGCCCUGAGAUGAGUCUUCCCUGAUACUUUAAGUAUCCUAAAGGGUUGUCGGAGACUACGACGUUGAUAGGUCAGGUGUGUAAGUGCUGUGAGGCAUUGAGCUAACUGAUACUAAUUGCCCGUGAGGCUUAACCAUACAACACCCAAGGGGUUU
Molecule: ribosomal RNA, 2915 nt
Filed under: Vibrio parahaemolyticus
Lineage: Bacteria; Pseudomonadati; Pseudomonadota; Gammaproteobacteria; Vibrionales; Vibrionaceae
Also listed under: 1 other name
Description: bacterial LSU rRNA
Rfam family: Bacterial large subunit ribosomal RNA
Source: RNAcentral